This 1543-nucleotide ribosomal RNA is filed under the name Triticum aestivum (bread wheat). RNAcentral's name for it is "partial small subunit ribosomal RNA". Lineage: Eukaryota; Viridiplantae; Streptophyta; Magnoliopsida; Poales; Poaceae. The record is from RNAcentral.
UGCGAGCAGAGAGGAGGAGGAAAGGGGGUUUAGAUGGUUUGGAAUAGACGAGAAGAAAGGGAUUUAGCUGGUCAGGAGACAAGAGGAGGAAAGGGGUUCAGUUGGUCCAGAAAGUGAGCGAAGAGUGAUGACGGUUGGUAACCGGCGGACGGAACGGUUGAGAGCGGCGGGGAGGUCCGGCGGUGUUGCCCACGCCCCACAGACGAUCAAAGACGACGAAGAAGAGGAAGAGAGUGAUGGAAGAGGCGAGCACGACGGACGACGGCACGACUUCUGGUGACGACGGCGGCGGCUGACUAUUUGAUUAGCCACUUGACGACAACUUCCCGGCUUACUCGUUCUGACGACGUUCUCCUUCCAUUGUCACCAAUUUGUUGUUUGGUACCAGGUCCUCUCGUAUAGACAUCAAUAACCAGUAUACAUCCGUAGAAAACCAGCCAGGUCACACAAGAUAUCAACACCGAUACCUGUUGAAAACCGGUCAGGCCACAUAAGAUGUCAACUCCGUCACCUCGUGAAAACCGGUCAGACCACAUAAGAUGUCAACACCGUUACCUCAUCAGUAACAGGUAUUAUGGUCCAAAAGUUCGUUCCCGACUCUAUCUAUAUGUUUAGUCUUCUUAACAGGGAAAACUUAAUGAAAUGUACAAGUGACGGUCAAAGUUUACUGUUUUCCUCGUUCGUUUACAUUUUCUUUUCCAUGUGCGAACUUGUCUAGACAUUUCGAAUUAUGAACAUAGUAAGCGAAUAAGUGUGUUGAUAAACUAGAUCCUACGAAACAACCUUUUUUUGGUACUAUGUGUUCUAGUAAACUAAACCAACGGAUUUUUCCCGUGACCGAAACAUUAUUCGUAAUGACGUAAACAUAUGUUUAUCUUUGUAGUACUAUGUAUUUCUAUCCGGUCCCUGUAUACACAAUGGAACGUUUCGUGGUGUUGAAACCGGUAGUCAAACGUGGUAGAGAGGAUCAAAAGGACACAAUUCUCCUUGUAUUUUAAUUUUAUAUAGCACAAAAAAGCGAUGGUGGUGGCUUGGGGUUUGUUGUAAAUUCUUUUGGGUUGUUGUAAAUUCUUUCGGGUUGUCAUGAUUACGUAAAUAGUAAGGAUAGGAACAUUAUGAUUUGACUUUAGACUAAGAGAACCUCCAAACUUUUAUAAGCUUUUCGAGGUAGAAACAUUACGGUAAGUGCUAAGUACUCAUGUUUUUAGUGGUUUAUCUGGUUUUGUAACGAUCUUCAUGGAAUCAAGUUCACGAUGUUGUCCUUGAACGCAUAUAUUCAUAUUGGUAUCAAGCUUCUCCACCCGCGAGUGUAGAAAGAGGUGACAGCCGACAGUGGGGUCCCGUGGUGAGGUUGGGGAAACAAUACUCGUAUAUGGAUUUAUAACCAUGUCGGUUUAAAUGUCUUAUAUAUAACAUGUACUCCUCCCAAACACUCCUUCUCUCCUGGGCAGCUUCUUUUUUUUAUCUCCUAGGCACCUUCUCUCUUUUUCUCUCUUCCUCGCACUUGUCGGAAGUAAAAUCACUAUACGUCCAACAAAACACU